GUGGGAGUAAUCAUUACUAGUUUUGGACAUUUUCUCCUUGUGCUUUGUUACUGUGAAUUAGCUAGUUUUUUCAUAUUGAUUAUCAUGGAAUGCCCCAUUUUGGUUGUCUAGUCUGAUUCAGUGUUUUUAAUCUCUAGGAUAUUUUUAUUGAAUUCAAGUCUUAUGAUAAUGACAAUCCAAACGGUCUAAUAUUAUGUAGUUGAGAGGUUUUUAAAAAAACUAGCUAAUUCACA
Molecule: unclassified non-coding RNA, 233 nt
Filed under: Hevea brasiliensis (rubber tree)
Lineage: Eukaryota; Viridiplantae; Streptophyta; Magnoliopsida; Malpighiales; Euphorbiaceae
Source: RNAcentral